ACUCCUACGGGAGGCAGCAGUGGGGAAUUUUGGACAAUGGACGCAAGUCUGAUCCAGCCAUUCCGCGUGCAGGAUGAAGGCCCUCGGGUUGUAAACUGCUUUUGUACGGAACGAAAAGGUUUCUAUUAAUAAUAGGAGCUCAUGACGGUACCGUAAGAAUAAGCACCGUCUUUCUACGUGCCAGCAGCCGCGGUAAUAC
Molecule: ribosomal RNA, 199 nt
Filed under: uncultured bacterium
Lineage: Bacteria
Description: partial 16S ribosomal RNA
Rfam family: Bacterial small subunit ribosomal RNA
Source: RNAcentral